UACGUAGGCAGCAAGCGUUGUUCGGAGUUACUGGGCGUAAAGGGUGUGUAGGCGGUUGUUUAAGUUUGGUGUGAAAUCUCCCGGCUCAACUGGGAGGGUGCGCCGAAUACUGAAUGACUAGAGUGCGGGAGAGGAAAGUGGAAUUCCUGGUGUAGCGGUGAAAUGCGUAGAUAUCAGGAGGAACACCGGUGGUGUAGACGGCUUUCUGGACCAUAACUGACGCUGAGGCACGAAAGCGUGGGUAGCAAACAGG
Molecule: ribosomal RNA, 253 nt
Filed under: uncultured bacterium
Lineage: Bacteria
Description: partial 16S ribosomal RNA
Rfam family: Bacterial small subunit ribosomal RNA
Source: RNAcentral